GAUUACAAUAUACUUCUCUGUAAUCGCGGCUG
Molecule: non-coding RNA, 32 nt
Filed under: unclassified sequences
Description: S4-Bacteroidia ribosomal protein leader
Rfam family: S4-Bacteroidia ribosomal protein leader
Source: RNAcentral